Molecule: ribosomal RNA, 204 nt
Filed under: uncultured bacterium
Lineage: Bacteria
Description: partial 16S ribosomal RNA
Rfam family: Bacterial small subunit ribosomal RNA
Source: RNAcentral
UACGAAGGUCCCAAGCGUUAUCCGGAUUUAUUGGGUUUAAAGGGUGCGUAGGCGGGCUAUUAAGUCAGUGGUGAAAGCCCCAGCUUAACUUGGGAACUGCCAUUGAUACUGAUGGUCUUGAGUACAUUUGAGGUGGGCGGAAUGUGUCAUGUAGCGGUGAAAUGCUUAGAUAUGACACAGAACACCGAUUGCGAAGGCAGCUCA